Molecule: long non-coding RNA, 278 nt
Filed under: Solanum tuberosum (potato)
Lineage: Eukaryota; Viridiplantae; Streptophyta; Magnoliopsida; Solanales; Solanaceae
Description: long non-coding RNA (STUB_LNC009787)
Source: RNAcentral
CUAAAAAUGAAAUACAAAGCUGAUUUUUUAUUUUUUUUUGCCAAAAGUUAUAAGAAUCAUUACCUUAUUGACUUCCUAUUAGUAAGGAAGUAUUUAAUCACUGCAAAAUGCAUUGCAGUAAGUUAUUGGGUCCCAAUAAUAUCUGACAUUUUCUGUUCAUCUUUAUCUUUCUAACUACAAUAUAUUUUUUUAUUUAUGGUAAUUUAGUUCCCCUUAAAUAUUUAAAAAUAUUGCAAAUGUUGUUAUUAACGUUAUCAAUGUUGAUACUUGCAAUAUUG